GUCGGGAUANCUCAGCUGGUAGAGCAGAGGACUGAAAAUC
RNAcentral lists this transfer RNA (40 nucleotides) under Amasonia hirta. RNAcentral's name for it is "partial tRNA-Phe". The record is from RNAcentral. Lineage: Eukaryota; Viridiplantae; Streptophyta; Magnoliopsida; Lamiales; Lamiaceae.